GACGAACGCUGGCGGCGUGCUUAACACAUGCAAGUCGAACGGGAUUUAGUAGACAGAAGCCUCGGCUAAAGAUUACUAAUGAGAGUGGCGAACGGGUGAGUAACGCGUGAGCAACCUGCCUAUGACAGUGGGAUAGCCUCGGGAAACCGGGAUUAAUACCGCAUAAAAUCGUAGAAACACAUGUUUUAACGGUCAAAGAUUUAUCGGUCAUAGAUGGGCUCGCGUCUGAUUAGCUAGUUGGUGAGAUAACAGCCCACCAAGGCGACGAUCAGUAGCCGGUCUGAGAGGAUGAACGGCCACAUUGGAACUGAGACACGGUCCAAACUCCUACGGGAGGCAGCAGUGGGGAAUAUUGCACAAUGGGGGAAACCCUGAUGCAGCGACGCCGCGUGAACGAAGAAGGUAUUCGUAUCGUAAAGUUCUGUCCUAUGGGAAGAUAAUGACAGUACCAUAGAAGAAAGCACCGGCUAAAUACGUG
Molecule: ribosomal RNA, 478 nt
Filed under: uncultured bacterium
Lineage: Bacteria
Description: partial 16S ribosomal RNA
Rfam family: Bacterial small subunit ribosomal RNA
Source: RNAcentral